GACGAACGCUGGCGGCGUGCUUAAGACAUGCAAGUCGAACGGAAAGGCCCUGCUUUUGUGGGGUGCUCGAGUGGCGAACGGGUGAGUAACACGUGAGUAACCUGCCCUUGACUUUGGGAUAACUUCAGGAAACUGGGGCUAAUACCGGAUAGGAGCUCCUGCUGCAUGGUGGGGGUUGGAAAGUUUCGGCGGUUGGGGAUGGACUCGCGGCUUAUCAGCUUGUUGGUGGGGUAGUGGCUUACCAAGGCUUUGACGGGUAGCCGGCCUGAGAGGGUGACCGGCCACAUUGGGACUGAGAUACGGCCCAGACUCCUACGGGAGGCAGCAGUGGGGAAUAUUGCACAAUGGGCGGAAGCCUGAUGCAGCAACGCCGCGUGCGGGAUGACGGCCUUCGGGUUGUAAACCGCUUUCGCCUGUGACGAAGCGUGAGUGACGGUAAUGGGUAAAGAAGCACCGGCUAACUACGUG
RNAcentral lists this ribosomal RNA (468 nucleotides) under uncultured bacterium. RNAcentral describes it as "partial 16S ribosomal RNA". It matches the Rfam family "Bacterial small subunit ribosomal RNA", at positions 28 to 507 of the family's 1533-position model. The record is from RNAcentral.